CAAUAGCGUAUAUUAAAGUUGUUGCAGUUAAAAAGCUCGUAGUUGGAUUUCUGGUGGGAGCGAUCGGUCUGGCGCUUAGCGCGAGUACUUGCAUCGUCUCCGGCCAUCCUUGGGGAGAGUCUGUCUGGCAUUAAGUUGUCGGGCAGAGGAUCCUCAUCGUUUACUGUGAAAAAAUUAGAGUGUUCAAAGCAGGCUUAUGCCGUUGAAUAUAUUAGCAUGGAAUAAUAAGAUAGGACUUUGGUACUAUUUUGUUGGUUUGCGCACCAAAGUAAUGAUUAAUAGGGACAGUUGGGGGUAUUCGUAUUCCGUUGUCAUAGGUGAAAUUCUUGGAUUUACGGAAGACGAACUACUGCGAAAGCAUUUACCAAGGAUGUUUUCAUUAA
RNAcentral lists this ribosomal RNA (383 nucleotides) under uncultured eukaryote. Its description in RNAcentral is "partial 18S ribosomal RNA". It matches the Rfam family "Eukaryotic small subunit ribosomal RNA", at positions 592 to 976 of the family's 1831-position model. The record is from RNAcentral.